Molecule: long non-coding RNA, 839 nt
Organism: Cryptotermes secundus
Lineage: Eukaryota; Metazoa; Arthropoda; Insecta; Blattodea; Kalotermitidae
Exons: 3
Source: RefSeq, a predicted model, not a curated record
UUGGCAGCACUGCUGACUGGCGACAUUCUGUUGAGAGAUGAAGCUCGUGGAUUGGUGUACUACUGUGUGAAAAAUUUUCAUGAACGCGGUUUAAUAAAGAUAUAACAGACGUCUGCUGAAGCGCAAUAUGAGUUCAACAUAUUCCAGGAAAUCGGACCGAAAACUGAUAUUUACUCAGGAAAUCCUAGACGAAGCUAGAAACAGAAUUGAAAACGGUGAAAGUCAAAGAAAAGUAGCUGCUUCAUUGGGAACGAAAGAAUCCACUCUGAGAAAUAGAUUGAAAUUGGGAACUGUACCAAUUUCCCUGGGACGUCAUAAGCCUAUGUUUACUCCUGAGCAGGAAUGGCAACUGGCAGACCAUUUGAGGGAGCCGGACAAGAGAUUCUAUGGCAUUACCAGGAAAUAGCUUAUGAGUUUAGCGUACGAGUUUGCUGACAAGAACAAAAUUGAACAUAGGUUCAACAGGACUGUGAGAUUAGCAGGAAAGAUCUGGGUAUUGGCCUUCUGCAAGAGGCAAAAUCUAACACUCCAGAUUACGCGCUCCAGAGAAAUGUAGUCUAGGGAGAGCAAUUGGAGUCAACAAAAUCCAAUGUGAGCAAUUUCAUAAUAAUUUGGUCAGUGUGUAUGCUGAGAAAAAGUUCCCAGCUCAUUGUAAAUUAAGUGUGGGCAAGUCUGGUAUCUCGACAGUACCCAAUCGUGUCCCAAACGUAAUAUCCCAAAAGGGAAAGAAAAUUGUCUGCAAAGUACCAUCAGGCGAGAGAGGGCAGACAGUAACUGUAGUGUGCUGUAUAGGCCCCACAGGCAUAUUUGUUCCUCCAGCUGUGAUGUUUGCAAGAAAG